Molecule: ribosomal RNA, 253 nt
Filed under: uncultured prokaryote
Description: partial 16S ribosomal RNA
Rfam family: Bacterial small subunit ribosomal RNA
Source: RNAcentral
UACGAAGGGGGCUAGCGUUGUUCGGAAUUACUGGGCGUAAAGGGCGCGUAGGCUGUGCUGUAAGUCAGGCGUGAAAUCCUCGGGCUCAACCUGGGAAUUGCGUUUGAUACUGCGGCGCUUGAAUGCAGGAGAGGAUGGCGGAAUUCCCAGUGUAGAGGUGAAAUUCGUAGAUAUUGGGAAGAACACCGGUGGCGAAGGCGGCCAUCUGGCCUGUUAUUGACGCUGAGGCGCGAAAGCGUGGGGAGCAAACAGG